RNAcentral lists this ribosomal RNA (356 nucleotides) under uncultured bacterium. RNAcentral's name for it is "bacterial SSU rRNA". It matches the Rfam family "Bacterial small subunit ribosomal RNA", at positions 29 to 412 of the family's 1533-position model. The record is from RNAcentral.
AACGAACGCUGGCGGCAUGCCUAACACAUGCAAGUCGAACGAGACCUUCGGGUCUAGUGGCGCACGGGUGCGUAACGCGUGGGAAUCUGCCCUGGGGGUGCGGAAUAACUCGGAGAAAUCCGUGCUAAUACCGCAUAAUGUCUUCGGACCAAAGAUUUAUCGCCCUGGGAUGAGCCCGCGUAGGAUUAGCUAGUUGGUGGGGUAAAGGCCUACCAAGGCGACGAUCCUUAGCUGGUCUGAGAGGAUGAUCAGCCACACUGGGACUGAGACACGGCCCAGACUCCUACGGGAGGCAGCAGUGGGAAUAUUGGACAAUGGGCGAAAGCCUGAUCCAGCAAUGCCGCGUGAGUGAUGAA